ACAUAAGUGGGGCGUAGUGGUUUUGAGUGCUGGACUGUGAUUCAAGAGAACAGGGUUCGAUUCCUAGCUUGGCCA
Phrynosoma platyrhinos (Desert horned lizard) is the source of this 75-nucleotide non-coding RNA. The record is from the annotation of a GenBank genome assembly. NCBI's taxonomy places the organism in Eukaryota, Metazoa, Chordata, Lepidosauria, Squamata, Phrynosomatidae.